UGAACGUUGGCGGUGCGUCUAAUACAUGCAAGUCGAGCGCAACUUCGGUUGAGCGGCGGACGGCUGAGUAACACGUUGGUAGCUACCCCUCAUUCAGGGAUAAGCGCGAGAAAUUGCGUCUAAUACCGGAUGGUCUCGAAAGAGUAAAGAUUUUUCGAUGAGGGAGGCACCUGCGGUCUAUCACGCUUGUUGGUAAGGUAACGGCUUACCAAGGCUAUGACGGAUAGCUGGUCUGAGAGGAUGAUCAGCCAGAGGGAGACUGAGACACGGCUCCCACUCCUACGGGAGGCAGCAGUAAAGAAUCUUCCACAAUGGACGAAAGUCUGAUGGAGCGACACCGCGUGCAGGAUGACGGCCUUAGGGUUGUAAACUGCUUUUCUGGGGGAAUAAUUCUGAAGGUACCCUAGGAAUAAGCACCGGCUAACUCC
Molecule: ribosomal RNA, 428 nt
Filed under: uncultured bacterium
Lineage: Bacteria
Description: bacterial SSU rRNA
Rfam family: Bacterial small subunit ribosomal RNA
Source: RNAcentral